Long non-coding RNA from Hippoglossus stenolepis (Pacific halibut), 329 nucleotides. RefSeq lists it as uncharacterized. Lineage: Eukaryota; Metazoa; Chordata; Actinopteri; Pleuronectiformes; Pleuronectidae. The record is from RefSeq and is a predicted model, not a curated record. The transcript is spliced from 3 exons.
CAUUCUUUCCCAUAACAUACUGUAGCCCCACUCCAAUAUUGGUGUGCACCUGUUUGCCAUGAAGCACAGUUGGAUUUUUGUUUGCUAAUUUCAGCAAAGAUGUGUUAAUCUUCUGUGUAAAGCCAAGGGGCAAUUCGGGGUUCAGCAUCUUGCCCAAGGACACUUCGGCAUGCAGAUGGGGAAGACUGGGGAUCGAACUGCCGACCUUCAGGUUGACGGACAACCGCUCUACCCCUCAGCCACAGCCGCCUGCUGAAACUAAGCAGUUUCAGUGAUCAGAUUGAGAGUAACAAUGUUUUCCAGAGUGUGUCUGUCUGAUUCGGAUUGGA